CCUGGUGCCAUUUUUUCCCUUUCAUCUUCUCUGUUAGUCAUUUCUCAUGAUGGUUUUUGCAUCUUAGCAUUAAAAACCAUCUUUUCAUCUUCUAUUUGGCCAUUGGAAACUGUAAGAUGGAGGCGGAUGAAGAUCAUCACGAUUUUUUCAUCAUGGGGGCUACUUCGGCUAUUGCUAGGGUUAUGAUCAUGGAUCUUUCAAGAGUCAUCCCUAGAGGGUACUGGUUUUACCUAUAUAAGGCAAGAUCCAGAUACUUUCCAAAUUCUUCUAUCUUGGAAGUUGUCCCUGGUCAUAACCCUUUUUAUGCUUGGAGGAGCAUCCUUUGGGAAAGAGAUUUGAUGGCUUCGGGUCUAAUUUGGAAGAUUGGGGAUGGAGAGAAUAUUUUAACCAUUGGUGAUCAUUGGCUCCCCAAUAACAAAUAUCUUUGCUAUAGAGAUGGGCCUAGAAGGUAUCGUAGGAGUUAAUAACAGCGGAGUUGAGAUAAGUAAGCCUGUAAGCUUUCGGUGACAAGUUGAGUCUGGGCAGCAUGGGGUGUAUCUCGUGUGAUCAUGUAACUGCGUGUGGUCUUGGCCAUCUUCCGCUGAAAGUUUUUUUUUUUUAAUUUAUUAAACUUAUCGAGGAUGUUGUCGUUUAAAUCUUCUAUUACUUUUCCCUAAGUGGUAAUACUUUAUUUUCAACUGGGUACCCAUGUUUUGAAAAUUGUUAUUUUUUUUAUAAAGGCAACAUUAGUAUCUUAACGCCAGUUUAUUUAUGGCAUCUUAUUUUACGUAAGUAAGGGCGUUACAUAAAGCCCCUCCAAAAAUCAAGCACUUUAUGUGGAGAGUUGUGUCUCAUACUAUUCCUGUUGCUUCCACUCUUUUU
This is an RNA transcript of Cannabis sativa, 861 nucleotides long. RefSeq lists it as uncharacterized. Lineage: Eukaryota; Viridiplantae; Streptophyta; Magnoliopsida; Rosales; Cannabaceae. The record is from RefSeq and is a predicted model, not a curated record. The transcript is spliced from 3 exons.